UCCUAGAGUCGGCAACUACACCGCACACUAUCUAAGACGAGGCAGUCCCAAUGGCCGAGUCGAACGUUGGAGCGAGACGCUGAGGGGCGGGCAAAACCCUAGAUGGCAUCCGCUCUCCUCUUCCACCGCCAUUGCUGUCGGUGGUCGCGAUCCCCUCUCCGUCUCGGUGGCGCCACCUCCACACGUCGCUCUCUCCUCCGCUUCGCUUCAAGCCUUUCACCUCAUCGCAAAACUGGGUGUCCGAAGUACCCCAAGCACGGGAGAACCCAACUACCAAUACCACCAGAAUAAAGUAUCUCUUUCUCUCUCCCUCUUUCUUUUCCUUUCUUUCUCGGUGAUUCUUGCUUCUUCGAUGGAUCCAAGGGUUCUUGGGCAGAGUUCUUCAAAGAUCGAGACUAUUUGGGGCGAGGAUUGUGGACACCACUUGUCGGUUGAGCCCAUCACCAUGGACAAGUUCCAUAUUCAUGGUUUUAUGAAGAACUCCUUUUGUCAAAGAAGUGAAAGGAAGGUCCAUGAGGCCAUUGGAAAUGUAUCUACCAGAUUUAGCUCACAUCAGUGUUUUAAAUAGUUUGAAGGUUGUGCUUCUGCUGUCGUGGUAACCUGGUGGGACAAUUCUAUGAAGACAUCAAAAGUAGAAAUAGUCAAAGAGAAAAACAAAAAAAGGCAAAAGAAAUGAAAAACUUCGGCAUUUUAUGUUUUGAUUUCCAGAACAUGUGUGGUUCCAUAUAGAACCUUCCAUCGGUGCAUCUUGACUAACUGGGGUUUGUAGAGUUGGUAAGGCUAUACUAUGCCUACAUGCAGGUGAGUUGCACAUUAUCUUAUACAUUAAGUUGCCACUGAUACAAAAAAAAAAGGGUUCCUUGUAUUAAUUAUAACCUUGGUAACAGUUAGUUGUUGCUGCAUGUUGGUUGAUUUGAAAAGAAAGGAAUGCCCGUAUAUUUAUUAAAUACUUGGCAUUAUCUCUCAAAGCCUUGCCUAGUACUCUAUCGGAAUGAAAAAGAUUUUUCAUCAAAAUAAAAAAAUGUGGGAAGUCUUCUGGAAGAAGUUAAGUUGGUUUAUUACAGGCUUUCAAACAUAAGCUCGUAUGUGGUUGUUGCUUGUUAAGAUUUUUUUGGUUUGAGCCUUUGCUAGUCCUUUUUUUUUCCCUUCUUUUAUUUCUUUUUUUAAUUAUUUUUUAGAACUAGGAUGGGAGAAAAUCCAUCUAAAAUUGACUCAGAGCGAGACUUUUCAUGCAUUGGCAUCAAAUUUCAAUGAUCUUACCAACUACACAAGUUGACACCCUUCGAGUUUUGAAUUCAGGUGGGUUGCCUUUCCUUUUCUUGGAAAAUGCCUCCAAAUUUGUUAUUUGAAAGACUGUGAUAUGUCUCCAUGUUCAUCGGCGGGAUUCACGCUAUACAGCAUUGUGUUUAUCACUGAAUUUCAUUUUAUUGAGGUCUUGGUCAUAUAUGUGGACCGUCAAGCCACUAAAUUUUAGAAAUAUUGGCCCUAAUACGUCUCGUCUACGCUGAAGGCUGGCUUUGAUGCGGAACUCUGUUCGUUUUUCGGCAACUUGCAUGCACUGGCAAUUCAAGUCCAGGCUCCAAGUCCCAGUUGCCAGUGUUCUUGUGAAGCAUGGAUUUCUCUAUGACCACAGAAGCAGCAUUCAGUUUUAGCAUUGUGCUCUUUAAACGAAGAUUUAAUUAACCAGUUGGUCAAGAGUUUGUGAUGUAGAGACUUGGAAGAAAUGUGAUGAUGGAGACCUUUGUGGCUGCGACAAAGUUGUCCAAAGGGACAUUUGAGUGACAACAUUCAGAACAUUAUUUAAGUAGCGGAGCAAUGCAUCCAUGAACGCAUUUGUCAAGAACAUGAUGAGACCAUCUUCCAUCAUCCUGUACCUUAUGGUACUGAUAGCCAUCUUCUUUGCAAUGAAAUCUGAGUUGGCUAAUGGAACUCGUUUUAUGAACACUGAAGAGAGGAUGCUGUUUGAAAGACCCGGACUCAACCCACCACCACCGCCGACCGGUGCUGUAAGUCCCAUAACGGCGGUAGCUGCUCCACCUCCCGUGAGAGGAGAUUGAGUUUAUAACAAACAAAAAUUUGCCAUAGACUCAGGAACAUGUUAGAGCCUAACAGAUUCAAUCUUUGGAGUUUUUGAGUUAUAUAUAGAAUAAACGAAUAUGAUGAGAGCUGAGAACAUAUUGCAUUCAGCAUAGCAACUAUAUUUAUUAUCAUAUUGUAACGCAUACCGUUAUCUUAUUAAUUGUAGAUAUAUUAUAUAUAUCAAAAUAAUCGUUAUCUGCUGCA
Non-coding RNA from Phoenix dactylifera (date palm), 2283 nucleotides. The record is from RefSeq and is a predicted model, not a curated record. Lineage: Eukaryota; Viridiplantae; Streptophyta; Magnoliopsida; Arecales; Arecaceae.